AGAGCUUUCAAGGAGAGCUUUCUCAGGCUUGUCUGUUUUUAAAAUGUGGAAUUCACAGAGGUGGACACAGCUUCCAAAUGGCUCAAACAAGAUGUCAGCCCUCAGAGCCAGCCAGCCAUUGCUUCCCUCCAGGCACAGAGGAAGUUCCUAGCAGCCUCAAUCAGGAAAAUCAUUUCCAUGGGUGGUUUUUCCCUCCUUACUAAAUAUCAAUUAAUGCGAAACCAGCACAUAACCUCUAUGACAGGCCUGAGAAUCUCCUUUCCUUUCCAGGAGAGAAUGGAGGAGCAGAAAAGGUGCCAUAGUUAAAUAUACCAGACUAGACCCUAUAUCCAAGAGAAUACAUAUAAUGAUUAAAUUCAUUGUUUAAUUCCCCAUUGCACAAAGCAAACUUCACAGAAAGAGAAGAAAAUGCCAUUUUCUACGAUCUGAAUCAGCCAUUACAAUGAAGAAAUCCUCUGAAGGAAAGGAACAGCAUCACCCAGUAAUGACAAGGUAAUUUCCAGUGGCAGAGGGAGGAUGCACCUGAUGGGAGCUGGGCACGACUCUCCUGGAAUGACACAGAGUGGUUUCCAGAGGACUGCAGACACAGGACCACACCGUCAUCUGUUUCAGACUGGGGUUGCAUUGACUCCCUGAGAAAAAAGCACAACUUCCUUUUUGUCUUUUAAUUUCAGCUGUUCUGAUUUUGUUCUGUUCUCAACUCUGUUCGUUGCAGUCCCUCAGAGUUUUUGACUCUGUGGCACCAGUUCAUUGUAUCUCCUGCAGCUGGGAUUGGAGGAGGCUCACCUAGUUCUCCCCAGCACACACCUGAGUGAUGACACACACAGUUAGACAAGUCUACAUGUUUUGACAACCGUGCUGUUUGCAGCCACAACUUCCCAGCACAGACAUGCACAGCUUCAUUUUUGUGAGGCAGCUGCAGCUUCUGGGCCCUUAUAUCACAUUGGGUAUUUUUGUUUUGUCUUAUCUAUUGCUCUGCAUGUCUACAAGUACCCACUGCCUCUGACAGACACUUCUAACCACAUAGACAACCCUGUUUUCAGUUUUCUAUUGAACAAGAUGUCAGCAGAUGACAACCCAUGCUCCACUGAUGUCAUUUGUGAUCCUAACUCCUGCAUUUCUGGAGACAAAGCCAGCCUGAAGAAUUUCAAAGCUUAGGAAGCACACAAACCAAAAUAUACAGUAGAUGGUGACAAUUUCUUCCCAGAAGACUGACAAACCCAAGACUGAGCCACUCUUGAGAGUUGCCCCCAUAGUCAAAGAUUAAGAUAUAUUCAG
RNAcentral lists this long non-coding RNA (1278 nucleotides) under Cyanistes caeruleus (blue tit). RNAcentral's name for it is "lncRNA (ENSCCEG00000019732.1)". Lineage: Eukaryota; Metazoa; Chordata; Aves; Passeriformes; Paridae. The record is from RNAcentral.